RNAcentral lists this long non-coding RNA (1261 nucleotides) under Brassica rapa (field mustard). RNAcentral describes it as "long non-coding RNA (BRAP_LNC002451)". The record is from RNAcentral. Lineage: Eukaryota; Viridiplantae; Streptophyta; Magnoliopsida; Brassicales; Brassicaceae.
GAAGACCAUGGAAUCGUGAUCAAUCUCAGAGCUGUUCGCGUUUCUUCCAAAUCCAGAUCCAGUAACCCAGUGAACGAUCCAAAAGUUCUUGUUGGUGUUCCUCAACCUAGCAAUACUUUUCUUCCAAAUCAUAUUCCGAGUGAGCUUGUGUUUCUUUCUCAGUCAAUCUCUUUCAUCCAUCCUUGUGUUAAUACUGUUUCUAUAAUUUUGUUUCUUCCAAAUCCAGAUCCUAGUUAACCCAAGGAACACUCCAUAAGGUCCCAACCAGAUCAGAAAAUAUAGAGAUGGCAAACAGGUUGUCCUGUCCCAUCCGUCCCAGACCGCAGUGGGAUUUUCUUCAAGCGAGUCAUGGCGGGUCAGGUCCACGUGGGCGGUCUCUGGAAUAGCUGCCCAAACCCGUCCCGCUAUAUGUACAAGCCUUUGCGGGCCGGCCCGCAGGACAUAUGAUAAUACAUGCAAUAGGAUGCUUCAGGCCACUCCAGGACCCUUUAGGCCACUCUAGAACAUGAUUCAUGUCGUCGAUUGAACUCUACAUGAUUCAUCAUUCAUUUAUUUGCGUAUUUGUUAUUCAAAAAAUGGUUGUAGUUAAUGUUUUCACACUCCAAACAUAUUAACAUACCAAUUAAAGAUAUUGCAUAUGAUGUUUUUCAUUAGCUUAUAACUCAUAACUUCAUAACCAAUGUUUUUAGUUUGAUGAAUCCAAAAAAUAAAUUAAAAAGAACACCAAACUAAAACACCACCAGAGCUCAAAUUGUCAUCAUCGGAACUCGAAUCAUCAUCGCCGAAGCUCAAAUUGUCACCGUCGGAUCUCCUUUCAUUUUCUCUGGGGGAAGUCACACGAAUCACCUUCUUCUCACUCCCUCUCUCUUUUUCUUAAGGUAAAACAAAAAAAAAAUGAAGAAGAAAAAAAAGCAGGUCCUUGUAAUCCCACAUAGCCCCCUUCGGCCCAUCCCAAAAAACCCAGUCCCAUAACAACCUGUCCCGCUAAUUUGCGAGCCUAGAAUAUCCCGGCCCAAUACCGUCCCACGACAGUUCUUUACGGGCCAGGCUCGCGAUCCAGAUCUAUGUUUGCCAUCCCUAAGCAAAUACAAGAUCAUGAUCUAGUUCCUGUUGGUGUUCAUUAACCUAACAAUUAUUUUCCUCCAAAUCAUAUUCCAAAUGAGCAUAUGUUUCUUUCUCAGACAAUCUCUCUCUUCCAUCCUUGUGUUAAUACUGUUUUAUAUUUUUGUAUCAUCCAAAUCCAGAUCUAGUUAACCCAUUG